CAAGGACUGAGAGGAAAGCGGAAAUGACCUAACUGUAAAAGCUCCUGUUGUUAUUGUUGACAUAAGGACACUAGGCGUGAUCCCCGUGUGUCCCCCUGCUGCCAGGGCACCACAGAAGAAGGGACUCACUCGUGGUACAUGUCUCCCCUGAGCAGAAAAGAGCAUGACAGCAUCUGGAUCAAAGCAACUCUGUUCCUGGAGCCUGCGCCGAGCUGCAGGCUGGGAUGGCACGCCAGGCGAAGGACCUCUUUCCCCCAGGAGGGGCUGUGUUCUUCACUCCUCCUCCCCAGGCCCAGGUGGUGGCCAUGGGGAAGGCAGUGAACACUAAAAGGAUGAAAAGCACAGGGAAAAAAUGGACAAGGGAAAACUACGCCAAAUGGAAAGUGACCAAAUGAAGAAAAGAGCAAAUGAAGUGUAAUUCUGCUCCCACAGUGGAGAAGCAGCUGAACCCACUGCUUCUCUUGUGCAGCCCAUAGCAAGCGGCUUUCUCCAGGCUCGGCCAGAGGAAGGGGGUGGCAGGACAGAAGGCACUCGCUUAGAGCCAGUUACCAAGAGGGCAUCACCUGGAACUUCAGAGAUGUCUGCGUGUCACAGGAGAGCCUGUACAUAAAUUAAAGUAGUCAUGACAACCUUGAUAUUGCACUUGUACAUAACUAUACAGUAGUCCAGAAUGUUCAGACAUUCAGAGUGUACAUAAAACAGAAAAGUAUCUAAAUGUAUUUUUAUUAAAUUUACGGCAUCUGAGUUUCACCCAAUGUGUGUUUGUGCCACAUACUGGAUAUCCAAGUUCAGAGAAGUCCUCUUGUUAGGCCCUGAAGCUCUGAUAACAAAGCCAGAAAGGGCGCCCCAUCAUGCCGAUGUGCUCAAAUGCAUCUGGUACCAAUGGGAUAACGCUGAGAACCCGGGUCGUCUGUCAGUACACAUGGAAGCCGGCAGUGAGUUCGUGUAAACAGCAGUACGUGAGGAGACUCGAAGGCAGUGGGAAUCUGUCACUAUUGUUGGCUCAGCAAGAGCAUUGUGCAUCAAUCUGUCAGCCUCUGGGUGCUGUGGGGCCAGAACAGCCAGUUUUAUCAUGAGAAAUGUUUCUCUAAGUCUUUCAGUUCAAAGAUUAUACAUGUAGAAUCAGAUUUUCUGAAAAGGGGUUUUCCAGGCUGCAUUUUGUUGUGGUUUUGUCUAAAUUUUUAGUGAUCACUUCCAAGGACCAUAGUUUACUGUACUGGAAACUGUAGGUGGGAGUGGGGUGGUUAGUUGAUACAUAGCUCCUGCUUCCCCAUGGAGAACUGCACACACCCUGCCCUCCUGCCCUCUCCUACUCCCUUAUACACACAGCUUAGGCAGAAGUCUGUGCUUCUCUCUGAGGAUCGCCUCCAAAAGGUGGGAGGAGGUGUGGAGAGAAGGCAACUCCUACUUCCCUGGGCUAUGCCGGAGGAAAAGCAGCUUGGGAUCGAGGACUGGCAGCAAAAGGGAAACAUGGGAAUAUCUGUGGUGAGGCCUGAGGUGCAAGAUUAGAGACACCAGAAAAUCUGGGGCAAAUGAAGAGACUAGAGCACCAUCAGAAAAAGUCAUUUUACCUUCAGUGCAAGUCUUACUCCUGCAUUUGCAUUUGGGUAGGGGUGGGAAUGAUUCACGUCCUUGGCGGGGGCGGGGGGGGGGGGGUGGUCCUUGUCAUGAACACAUUCGAUCCUUCCGUUUCAUUCAUCCAGUCAACAAAUAUUCACUAAGCACUUACUAACAACCUAAGCUAAUGCUAGGGCAGUGACCACGAUGAAAAAGAAGCUCCAGAAUUACAACAGAAUCCAGUUCCCAAACCCAUCAUCCAGAUCUUUCCUUAGGGAUUCUGUGAGAAUUGGCCAUCCUGAGAACAGGCCCAGGAAGGCAGAAGGACUGUCCUCGGCUGUGCACCAGCUCUCAGUCCGAAAUGUUUACCAGUGUACCAAACUCGGCCUCAGAAGUCAUGGUGAUGGUUUGUAGAUAGCUAGGCCCGCCAGGAGACAUGUCCCUGAGUGGUUCAAACUAAUAAACACCCUUGCCUGCAGGGAAACGAUCUGGAGAGCAGAUGAAAACUGGCGCCUUCUCUUUUAAAGGCAAUAAUGGAAGUGACUUCCAGUAACUGAAUUUGGGCACAAAACAUUCUGAACACUAGUGAAGCCUGUUUCAUUGAACUAAUUCUGGCUUUGAAAAUGUUUUGUUCUGUAGUUAUUUACGUUUUUGUUUGUUUAGAUUCAAGCUUAGUUUGUUAAUAUGUAUAAUUUAGCAUUUAUUGCACUCAUGUAAAUAUGGAGUAAGUAUUGUAAACUAUUUCAUUGCUGAGGAUUGUGGGUACUAUACAUACAUUUAAGGACUGCAAUUUUUUGGUAUUUUUUGUAUUGUAAAAUAACAGCUAAUUUAAGCAGGAACAAGAGAAUUAAGGGAGGUCUGCAUUUUAAACACAAAUGUGAAGAACUUGUACAUAAACAAAAGUAAAUACUAUACUACAAACUUCCUUCUGAAAUAAAAGUAGAUCUGGUAAAAAUGGG
Molecule: long non-coding RNA, 2516 nt
Organism: Myotis lucifugus (little brown bat)
Lineage: Eukaryota; Metazoa; Chordata; Mammalia; Chiroptera; Vespertilionidae
Exons: 2
Source: RefSeq, a predicted model, not a curated record